This 508-nucleotide ribosomal RNA is filed under the name uncultured bacterium. Its description in RNAcentral is "partial 16S ribosomal RNA". It matches the Rfam family "Bacterial small subunit ribosomal RNA", at positions 33 to 541 of the family's 1533-position model. The record is from RNAcentral.
GACGAACGCUGGCGGCGUGCUUAACACAUGCAAGUCGAACGGAAAGGCCUCUUUCGGGGGGUACUCGAGUGGCGAACGGGUGAGUAACACGUGAGUAACCUGCCCUUGACUUUGGGAUAACUUCAGGAAACUGGGGCUAAUACCGGAUAGGAGCUCCUGCUGCAUGGUGGGGGUUGGAAAGUUUCGGCGGUUGGGGAUGGACUCGCGGCUUAUCAGCUUGUUGGUGGGGUAGUGGCUUACCAAGGCUUUGACGGGUAGCCGGCCUGAGAGGGUGACCGGCCGCAGGGGGACGCGGCUCCGGCCCGGUCGUCUCUGAGAGGCAGCGGGUGGUGCUACUCCACGAUGGGGGGCGGGCUGCUGCAGGGCGGCGUGGUGGGUGAUGGGGGCCUGUGGGGUGCACCCCGGUCCCGCUGCGGACGAUGCUUUGGGGGACGGUGGGGAGGAAAGAAGCACCUGAUAACUACCGGCCAGCGGCCGCGGUAAUAAUCGGAGAGGCACCCGUCUGACC